This 220-nucleotide unclassified non-coding RNA is filed under the name soil metagenome. Its description in RNAcentral is "partial contains 5.8S ribosomal RNA, internal transcribed spacer 2, and large subunit ribosomal RNA". The record is from RNAcentral.
AACACUGUUAACCUGCGGUACCUGCGGAGGGAUCAUUACACAAUACAAUAUGAAGGCUGUCCGCAGCUGGAGUAUUUUAUUACCCUUGUCUUUUGCGCACUUGUUGUUUCCUGGGCGGGUUCGCUCGCCACCAGGACCACCAAAUAAACCUUUUUUAUGCAGUUGCAAUCAGCGUCAGUACAAACAAUGUAAAUCAUUUACAACUUUCAACAACGGAUCU